UUCUGCACGGGCUUCUGGGCAGGCAGCACUAACACUCAGGAGAAGGUCUGCCUCUGUCUGCGCCUUCCUGGUUCAAUGCAGGCAGAUGAGUGUCACAGAUGUAACUGAGGCAUUGAAUAAUCAACAUAUCGGAGCCAAUUCCCAGGACGGCAAGAGGGGGAACCGGCAGAGAUGACUGACCGUGGAGGACAAGAGCAUUCUUCUGACAAGUUUUAGCAUGGACUAUCCUCAGGAAAAUGAGAUCCAGGAAGAGUGACGCCCUCCUCGAACUGAAAGAUACUCAGGCUGAUGGAGUCAGGGACGAAGUGGUUUAUCAACAACACAGGAUGUCUGCAGGGAACAGAACUUAUUCAGACAUGGCCCAGAUUGUCUGCCCGUGGGGACUGAGGGACCUCUGAGGGUUACAUCAGGAAGGAGAGGCUGUUUCUACAGGUGCCACAGAAAAAUCGAUGCUGAGCCUCGGAUUAUUGGAUCCCAUAGAACCGUGGAGACUUGGCAGUGAAAUUCUUCCAAAGCAUUCCAUCUGCGCAGGCAGAGGUGUUCCUGGUUUAGGAAGUAUAAAUCCCGUGGGAAGUCAACUGGAGGACAUUUUACGCGUCACUCAUCCUAUUAUGAGCCUGCUGCUCCUCCGUCUCUUGACAAGGCCACCAACUAGAAGGGCACAGAAUUAUUCAUAAAACAGCUGAAUGUGAACGUCUUUGGAUUCCCAUUUAAUGAGUUGGCAGCUAAAGGACAGGAGCAGCAAUAAGGCUUCCUGGCUACAUUUUCAUGAUGCCACCAACUGCGAG
Molecule: long non-coding RNA, 788 nt
Filed under: Mus spretus (western wild mouse)
Lineage: Eukaryota; Metazoa; Chordata; Mammalia; Rodentia; Muridae
Source: RNAcentral